This 67-nucleotide transfer RNA is filed under the name Galeruca nigrolineata. RNAcentral describes it as "tRNA-Met". RNAcentral also lists the same sequence under 1 other name. The record is from RNAcentral. Lineage: Eukaryota; Metazoa; Arthropoda; Insecta; Coleoptera; Chrysomelidae.
AAAAAGGUAAGCUAAGCAUAAGCUACUGGGUUCAUACCCCAUUUAUAAAGAUCUUCUUUUCUUUUUA